This 385-nucleotide ribosomal RNA is filed under the name uncultured bacterium. RNAcentral's name for it is "partial 16S ribosomal RNA". It matches the Rfam family "Bacterial small subunit ribosomal RNA", at positions 338 to 734 of the family's 1533-position model. The record is from RNAcentral.
CCUACGGGUGGCAGCAGUCGAGAAUCAUUCACAAUGGGGGAAACCCUGAUGGAGCGAUGCCGCGUGAGGGAAUGAAGGUCUUCGGAUUGUAAACCCCUGUCAUGUGGGAGCAAAUGAACAAGACAGUACCACAAGAGGAAGAGACGGCUAACACUGUGCCAGCAGCCGCGGUAAUACAGAGGUCUCAAGCGUUGUACGGAAUCACUGGGCGUAAAGCGUGCGUAGGCUGUUUCGCAAGUCGUGUGUGAAAGUCCGGGGCUCAACCCCGGGACUGCACAUGAUACUGGGGGGUUAGAGUGACGGAGGGGGAGGAGGAAUGCGUGGUGUAGCAGUGAAAUGCAUAGAUAUCGAGCGGAACACUCGUGGCGAAGGCGGGUGACGGGUC